This 527-nucleotide ribosomal RNA is filed under the name uncultured bacterium. Its description in RNAcentral is "bacterial SSU rRNA". It matches the Rfam family "Bacterial small subunit ribosomal RNA", at positions 194 to 719 of the family's 1533-position model. The record is from RNAcentral.
UCGGGACCGCAAGGCCUGACACUACCAGAUAAGCCCGCGGCCUAUCAGCUAGUGGCGGGUAACGGCCCACCAAGGCUAAGACGGUAGCUGGUCUGAGAGGACGACCAGCCACACUGGAACUGAGACACGGUCCAGACACCUACGGGUGGCAGCAGUCGAGAAUUUUUCACAAUGGGGGAAACCCUGAUGGAGCGACGCCGCGUGGGGGAUGAAUGGCUUCGGCCGUAAACCCCUGUCAUUUGCGAACAAACCUGGUGGUUGAACAAACUGCCAGCUGAUAGUAGCAGAAGAGGAAGGGACGGCUAACUCUGUGCCAGCAGCCGCGGUAAUACAGAGGUCCCAAGCGUUGUUCGGAUUCACUGGGCGUAAAGGGUGCGUAGGCGGUGGGGUAAGUUUGAGGUGAAAUCUCCGGGGCUACAACCCGGAAAUUGCCUUGAAGACUAUCCUGCUAGAGGAUCGGAGGGGAGACUGGAAUUCUCGGUGUAGCAGUGAAAUGCGUAGAUAUCGAGAGGAACACCAGUGGCGAU